Molecule: long non-coding RNA, 500 nt
Organism: Fukomys damarensis (Damara mole-rat)
Lineage: Eukaryota; Metazoa; Chordata; Mammalia; Rodentia; Bathyergidae
Exons: 4
Source: RefSeq, a predicted model, not a curated record
AGGCCGACCGGAAAGUGCGCGUCUGUGACGGCGCGGCCUUGACCUCGCGUAACCUCUGUGUAGCCCCUCUGAGCACAGCCUGCGCGCCCCCAGGGUCGCCUGCGGACCCUGGCUCCUGGCUGCUGGUCACCUGCCGUCCAGCCGCCCUCUGCACGCUCCCGCGUAACACGCUCUUGGCUGGUAGGUUGGAAGUUGAGUCGCGGCCCUGGAGCACCCUGCGGCCCUCUCGAUGAGACUCAGGAUUUGGAAAGCAAAACAAACAACCGAACAAACAAAUGAAAAGAGUAGAUUUUGGACCUCCACGAAUGAUUUCAAAGUGAACAAUAAGAAGAUCUCUGCCUGCAUAAGACUCAUUUUGAAAGUGACACUAAAGAGCCCAUCCAAGAAGAUAAUAACGGGUCAUCCAGGAAAGGCUACGUAAGAGGAUACAGUUCCCUCAAUAAGAGAUGAAGGUUCACAAAACAGCCAGUCAGACCAGGGAAUAGAAGAUUAAGGCGGCA